RNAcentral lists this transfer RNA (59 nucleotides) under Klebsiella oxytoca. RNAcentral's name for it is "tRNA-OTHER". Lineage: Bacteria; Pseudomonadati; Pseudomonadota; Gammaproteobacteria; Enterobacterales; Enterobacteriaceae. The record is from RNAcentral.
GGGUGAUUAGCUCAGCUGGGAGGAGGGGGUCGGCGGUUCGAUCCCGUCAUCACCCACCA